UAGGUUGUAAUACGUCUUGAUUUUGGAAU
Molecule: non-coding RNA, 29 nt
Filed under: Mus musculus (house mouse)
Lineage: Eukaryota; Metazoa; Chordata; Mammalia; Rodentia; Muridae
Source: RNAcentral